Molecule: ribosomal RNA, 750 nt
Filed under: uncultured bacterium
Lineage: Bacteria
Description: bacterial SSU rRNA
Rfam family: Bacterial small subunit ribosomal RNA
Source: RNAcentral
UACUCUUGGCCAGCCUUCUGAAAGGAAGAUUAAUCCAGGAUGGGAUCAUGAGUUCACAUGUCCGCAUGAUUAAAGGUAUUUUCCGGUAGACGAUGGGGAUGCGUUCCAUUAGAUAGUAGGCGGGGUAACGGCCCACCUAGUCAACGAUGGAUAGGGGUUCUGAGAGGAAGGUCCCCCACAUUGGAACUGAGACACGGUCCAAACUCCUACGGGGGGCAGCAGUGAGGAAUAUUGGUCAAUGGGCGAUGGCCUGAACCAGCCAAGUAGCGUGAAGGAUGACUGCCCUAUGGGUUGUAAACUUCUUUUAUAAAGGAAUAAAGUCGGGUAUGCAUACCCGUUUGCAUGUACUUUAUGAAUAAGGAUCGGCUAACUCCGUGCCAGCAGCCGCGGUAAUACGGAGGAUCCGAGCGUUAUCCGGAUUUAUUGGGUUUAAAGGGAGCGUAGAUGGAUGUUUAAGUCAGUUGUGAAAGUUUGCGGCUCAACCGUAAAAUUGCAGUUGAUACUGGAUGUCUUGAGUGCAGUUGAGGCAGGCGGAAUUCGUGGUGUAGCGGUGAAAUGCUUAGAUAUCACGAAGAACUCCGAUUGCGAAGGCAGUCUGCUAAGCUGCAACUGACAUUGAGGCUCGAAAGUGUGGGUAUCAAACAGGAUUAGAUACCCUGGUAGUCCACACGGUAAACGAUGAAUACUCGCUGUUUGCGAUAUACGGCAAGCGGCCAAGCGAAAGCGUUAAGUAUUCCACCUGGGGAGUAC